GGGCCCGCACAAGCGGAGGAACAUGUGGUUUAAUUCGAUGAUACGCGAGGAACCUUACCCGGGCUUGAAUUGCAGAGGAACAUAGUUGAAAGAUUAUGGCCGCAAGGUCUCUGUGAAGGUGCUGCAUGGUUGUCGUCAGCUCGUGCCGUGAGGUGUCGGCUUAAGUGCCAUAACGAGCGCAACCCUUAUCAUUAGUUACUAACAGGUCAUGCUGAGGACUCUAGUGAGACUGCCGUCGUAAGAUGUGAGGAAGGUGGGGAUGACGUCAAAUCAGCACGGCCCUUACGUCCGGGGCUACACACGUGUUACAAUGGGGGGUACAGAGGGCAGCUACCGGGCGACCGGAUGCCAAUCCCAAAAACCUCUCUCAGUUCGGAUCGAAGUCUGCAACCCGACUUCGUGAAGCUGGAUUCGCUAGUAAUCGCGCAUCAGCCACGGCGCGGUGAAUACGUUCCCGGGCCUU
RNAcentral lists this ribosomal RNA (463 nucleotides) under uncultured bacterium. RNAcentral describes it as "bacterial SSU rRNA". It matches the Rfam family "Bacterial small subunit ribosomal RNA", at positions 917 to 1382 of the family's 1533-position model. The record is from RNAcentral.